CUGAAAAUCUUCAUUUAAUCCUUUCAGAUUGAGUUGACCUCCAGACACAGAAACCUCAGAACGCAAAACUGCAGACAAGGGGAAGACUUCUGUAACUAGGAAGGCUGCGUACAAACUGUCAAAUGACAAGGAACUAAGACGCACAGGGAGUCAGCGUCAGGACUGCAGAGAUCACAGAGCCUGUGGGAGCAGGUGCCCAGGAGGAUGGAGGCUGGAUGGUAGGCCAUGGCUGAACUUGACCGACCCUCUGGUUCAGCCAGCCCACGGAUGGAGCUGGGGUUCAGGGUGGAGCCCGGCAGACAUUCCUUCUGUGUGAUUUCAGUUCCCAUUUAUGUGCAUCUUGGAUUUUAGAGAAGGGUCUGGCAAUAAGUCAGUAACGGGCCCUCUGGUUGGUGCCCAGAGGUGACAAUAGUCAGAUCUCACCAGUCAGUGAUGCUAAGGAGCAGGUAGGAGCAUGCUUCUUCCCACCUUGCCCUUAAAAUAAUCCUUUAAAGAAAAGCUAUUGUUCCCAUGUGACAAUUGAAGACUCAACGCAGGCAGGAAGCUUCUAGGAAACUCAUCGGAGGCAGCAGAGCAUGCAGCAGACCUAGGUGGGCUCACAGCCCCUGAAGGGCGCAGGGGAGGGCCCUCCAGUGAGCCGCGGCUCUGCAGGGUGAGCGAAUGUCUCCUCUCCUGGCCACCAGGAGGACGUGAGCCAUCCGUGGCAAACGGAGAACAAAGGAGGAGACUUUCCCAGCCACGGCAUCAGCUUAUGGGGACAAACAAGAUGCCCACAGAGAUAUUCUCACCAAGGCCGAGGUGUUUGUCAGGCCCACCUCUCUCCUCCUGAGGUCACCAAGCACGUGUGACUGGCUUGUCAGGGCGCAGCGUCGGCUCUCACGAGGAUGCUGUUGGGAAACGCCUUUGACUCCCAGGCGUUUCUUCCUCAGAUCCUCCAUUAUUACUGGCCAGUCCAACCCUCAGGGGACAGGGCUCGUGCAGGGCUGGACUGAGGCGGAGGAGUGGAGCACGGGUUCCCUGGGACGGGCGCGUAGGUUCCCCUCGGGUGGAGGAGGUGGCGGCAGGACGAGGCAGCCUGGGCAUGCAGAGGCUGGGAGGAGGGCGCAGGGGAGACCUGAGGUCCAGAUGUGAACAAAGGCCAGCAGGGGUCAGCAUGCAAGGUGAUCCACGUGGCGCCGCUCCUGCUGCGUCCCUGGGCUAGGACCUGCGCUGAACCCUCGGGCGAGGGCUGAGGGCGGGGAACGCCACACAUUGCCAGCAGCCUCUGCAGGGUCGGGAGGUGGCGCUGUUGGCACAGACAUGUGAGUUGAACUACGUCUGCACCCCGGGGACCUCGGGGGACUGGCGCCCGCAGAGCCGCUGCCGCUUCCGUUGUCAGCAGUAACUGGAGCUGUGGGGGGCGACAGGGAGGGGGCGACAGGGAGGGGCCGAGCAGGGAGGAGCCCGAGCAGGGAGGAGCCCGAGCAGGGAGGGGCGGUGGCUGGUACACGGAUGGGGCGGGCAGAAAGUCGAAAUCACCCCGGAAACACCCUGGGGGCUCCCGAAAACAGCAGAAGAAUUGAAUGGGCUCUGGAAAGCGACGGAGAGGAGGGUGGAGCCAGGGAAAUCAGCUGUGCCCAGCGCCCAGAGCAGGAGAGCCAGGAGAGCAGGCCUCCUUCGGCUGUCCCACCGCCGUGACUCCAUCCCUGAGGACUGGCUUGCUUUCCUGCAGCACAGAGCCGUCCAGGUCUGCUUGGGCUCAGUGCAGAUGAGAAAGGGCCCAGCGUUCCCCUGGGGUGACCCUGCGUCCAGGGCCUCACCCUCCCCUGGCUUCACCAUGGUCUCACUGAGCCUCCAUCCCUCUGAUCAGAGCUGUGGCUUUCAAAAGCAUUGUGUCAUUAGGGCUACUGGUCACACUUUUCCGUCUUUCCCCCUUUCAGAUAGGAGGUGGGAUUAUUCUUCCUGGUCUCCUUAUGGCCAGGGCAGGUGGGGGAUGCCUAACCAGCUGUGGCCAAUGAGUUCUGAAUGGAAAUAACCUGUUAUUUCUUAGCCAUAGCAUGCAAUGCUGACAGAAGAUCCUUUUCCUUUACUAUGACAAUUAGCUGUGUUCCAGACUGCCUGUGCCAUAUCCCUGAGUCCCGGAGGGAAGAUGACAGGAGCCAUGGAGCACCUGACCCAUGACAGACAUGCAGCAUGAGCAAGCAAUGACCUCUGUUGUUGUAAACUGCUAAGGUCUGGGUUUGUUUGUUACUGCAGCAUAACAUAGACUCUCCUGGCUGAUAUGAGCAAACUCUUGGAGAUCAUGGGGCUAUCUGUAGGGCACUGUGAAGGUAAAAACCUUUACUUUCUUAUAUAAACUACAGUUUGGUUUUUUUAUUAGUUACACAUGACAGUACGAUGAUCUUGACAAUUCAUACAUUUUAAUCAAAUGGGGAACAGUUAUUAUUAAUAGUAAUGAGUAUCCCAUAGGAAGCAACUACUACCUGUCAGGAAUUGUUCUAGUUUCUUUGGUAGAUGUUUUCUCAUUGAUCUCCACCACAGCCCUGUGGGUUUUGAAUUAUUGGCUUGUUCAGUGUCAAUCUCAUUGUAGAGCUCAAGGGACUGAGGUUCAGGGACACUCAAGGUUGCUGUGAUCACUACUACUAAGGGAUAGAAUUAAGAUCCAGAUGUUGGAGUCUCUAACUCCAAAACACUCACUUUCUCCAUCCCUGGGCUAUUAUUACCAUCCCAAGAAUAAAUAAAAUAUUUUUAAGAGAAAGGAUCUCUUUACAGGGAACACAUUAGCAUCUGCCUUCUGACUAAAUUGAAUGUGAAAGGUGAUCCCCACAGGCUGAACAAACAGGCUUGCCCUCGAGGGUGAUUAUUUUUGAGAUGGAAUCUGUCUGUGCUGUCCAGGAUCAUGUCUAGCUCCUGAGCUUAAGAGAUCCUCCUGCCUCAGCCUCCCGAGUGCUGGGAUCACAGGUGAGCACCGCAGAGCCUGGCUUGGUGUGGUAUUUGGCAAGGGAAUCUCCCUUUUUCUCCUCUGAUUUGGGUGCUCCACCAGAUAAGCCACAGCAAGCACCAAAAGCUUAAGAAAAAUGUAAAGAGGUCAUUUAUCCAUCAUUUUUUAAUGUUAUGAAUGAGCUGAGAGAUCGGAAGAGUGAGGAGUCUCAUUGCCUAGAGGUGAGCUUCCCCAAGACAGGAGCUCCUCAUUCUGACUUCUAAGUAAGCAUUUGGUUUUGCAUUCGUAUGAAAUGACACCGUUAUGUCUCCUAAACAUAGGUGAAAGGUCCCCUAAAAGCUCACGUGUGAGACAAUGCGAGAGGGUUCAGAGGAGAAAUAAUUAGGUUGUGAGAGCCUUAAACCAGUCAGUGAAUUCUUCCCCUGAUAGGGAUUAACUGAGUGGUAACUGCAGGCAGCUGGGGUGUGGCUGGAGGGGGGCACUGGAGGCGUGGCUUUGGGGGAUAUACUUGUAUCUGGCCAGUGGCUUCUCUCUCUGCUUCCUGUGAGCUGCUUCCCCCUGCCACCCUCUCCCACCUGGAGCCCGAGGAAUGGAGCCAGCCUUCUGUGGGCUGAGACCUCUGAAACGGUGAGCCCCCAAACUUUCCUCCUCUACAGUUGUUCUGGUCGAGUCUUUUAGUCACAGCAACAAAAAAUCUGACUAAAACAAACCCUGAGUGACCUCAGGUGCCCUUUAUCUAACUUCCCUCUACUGCUAACAUCUUUUUUUAAAAAUAUUUUCAGUUGGGCCAGGGUUGUGGCUCAGCGGUAGAGCACUCGCCAAGCAUGUGCACACCCUGGGUUUGAUCUUCAGCACUGCAUAAAAAUAAAUAAAGGUAUUGUGUCCAAUUAAAACUAAAAAAAUAAAUACUU
This 3831-nucleotide long non-coding RNA is filed under the name Marmota monax (woodchuck). The record is from RNAcentral. Lineage: Eukaryota; Metazoa; Chordata; Mammalia; Rodentia; Sciuridae.